Bos taurus (domestic cattle) is the source of this 835-nucleotide long non-coding RNA. NCBI's taxonomy places the organism in Eukaryota, Metazoa, Chordata, Mammalia, Artiodactyla, Bovidae. The record is from Ensembl.
GUGAGCUCCAAUGAGAUGGUUCCUAGAGGUGGAGUCCUGGUAGGGUCCGCAACGAGAUCAGGGGUUCCGCACGCCUGUCCGCCAGUUCCCCACUCGGCAUGGGUUCCUGCUUUUUCUAGUGUCAUGUGCGCCGUGAGGUUCUGAUGGCUUUUUCACCUUAAGAUUUAUGUUUUCUUUUGAACCCUUUCUUAUCCUCUCCCAUUCUUUACCUCUAUUAUUCUCCAAGAAACGGAAAGGGUUAUGGAUUGGUAUUUGGUUAUUAGUUUGGGGUUUCGACAACACUGCGGGAAUCAGUGCUGUAAGCCUCCGCUGUUUAUUCAAACCCUCCCUGUGUGCUUAAUAAGUACAUGAGAUGCCCUGUGAUCAGUUCUUCAGGAAUCUGAACCAGCCUGCAUAGAAAAAAGCCUGUGAGCAGACACUGCAGAAAGGGCAUCCUUCAAAGAGACAUACCUGGCAUUUGUGCUCAGAUACAAAUGAUGCUGGCAUAUUGAGUGCAGCACUUUCACAGCAUUAUCUUUCAAGAUUUGAAAUAGCUCAACUGGAAUUCCAUCACCUCCACUAGCUUUGUUCGUAGUGAUGCUUUCUAAGGCCCACUUGACUUCACAUUCCAGGAUCUCUGGCUCUAGUCGUACAUGGAUGUGAGAGUUGGACCAUAAAGAAGGCUGAGCACCGAAGAAUUGAUGCUUUUGAACUGUGGUGUUGGAGAAGACUCUUGAGAGUCCCUUGGACUGCAAGGAGAUCCAACCAGUCUAUCCGAAAGGAAAUUUGUCCUGAAAAUUCAUUGGAAGGACUAAUGCUGAAGCUGAAACUCCAAUACUUUGGCCACCUGAUGGGA